This 1455-nucleotide ribosomal RNA is filed under the name Triticum aestivum (bread wheat). RNAcentral describes it as "partial small subunit ribosomal RNA". The record is from RNAcentral. Lineage: Eukaryota; Viridiplantae; Streptophyta; Magnoliopsida; Poales; Poaceae.
AUGGCCCCCUUAGCCCCCGCCGCUUCCCCUGCCGCCGCCCCUCCCCUUCCCCCUCCCAGCCCGGCCGGGGACGAAGGCCCUGACCCGGAUCCCGACCCGCGCCUCUCUCCGGCGGUCUUUCUUUUCGCCCCUGCUGCUCCGGCCCCGGCGCCGGCCGCUCCGGCCCCUGCUGCUCCGGCCCCAGCGCCCGCCGCUUUGGCCCCGGCCGCCCCGGACCUGGCCGCUCCGGCCCCUGCGGCUCCAACCUCGGCGCCCGCCGCUCUGGCCCCGGCCGCCCCGGCUUGGGUGGAGGUUGGGAGACGGCGCCGCCCGAGCCUGGAGAAGGUGGCUGCUCCCCCUCCCAGGAAGGAUGCUGGACUGCCUCGCACUUUCAAGCAGAGGACUUUCGGCCUCUGCUUUCGGUGCUUGGCGUCGGACCACUUCGCCGCGGGCUGCCGCGGCCCUGUCCGGUGCUUGGGAUGUGGCCACUCCGGCCAUCGCGAGCGGGAGUGCUUGGCACGGCAUCCUGCCGACAACCUUGCGACUGAUGGUGUCGUGCCGGCGGCUGACCCCGGCGUGCCUCCUACUGUUUUGGAGCCCUUGCGGCCUCUCCUUGCAGCUCAGGCGGAGGCGCUCGGCGCUGAGCUACAGGCCUUGUUCGCUGCUCGUCUUGAGGUGCUGUUCAAGCCUCUUCAAGACUUGGUUGCUGCUGUGGAGAGUUGGACUGCUCAAGUCUCAAGCCUAUGGGAACCUAUGGAAGCUAUCGGGGGCAGCCAAGACCUUGCCAAUGUUGAAUCUGCUCCUCCUGCUGUGGCCGUUGGUGAGGAUUGUAGUGCGCUUGUUGUGGCUGGCUGCUCAGCUGAGUGGAGUGAGAAGGCUCAGUCCGUUAAUGAUCCGCCUGCCUUGGAGAAGGUCAUGCUCGAGGAUGAUCCUCCUGACUUGGCUUCUGUCCUACUCGGGAUGGUGAGUCAAGGCGUGGAGGAGCGGGCCAAGGUGUCUUUUUGUUUUGACAUGGUUAUGUCUGAGGUGGAGCCUGUUGAGCAGUCGACACUGGAGGAGCCGAAGGUUUCUAGUGCUCCUUGCACCAGCAAGCCUUCAAAGGAGCUGAUCCGGAUGGAUGCAGAUGAGCCUCUUGGGAGAGCCUCCUCUCCGUGGGGGGAGUUCCUCGAAGAGCUUGCUCUCACUGUGUCGAGCUCGCCGCAAGUUUUGCAGGUGGGAGAGGCUGCUCCUUCUCUCUUACAGCGACGAAGCUGCCGUUUGGACAAGAAAAACAAAGAUUGCGACAUUCCUGUAGCCAAGCACGCGGAGUAUAGGCGGGCGGAGGCCUUUGGAGAGGUUCCAACACUCAAGAACAAAGGAAAAGCAUCUAAAGAAGACCUGAAUGAGAAGAUGCAACACUAUCUGCAGAUGUACAAGAAGGAACACACGCCCAAGGCGAUUGAGGCAGUGCACGCAUUAGUUCAGGCCAAUGCUUGA